RNAcentral lists this ribosomal RNA (250 nucleotides) under uncultured prokaryote. Its description in RNAcentral is "partial 16S ribosomal RNA". It matches the Rfam family "Bacterial small subunit ribosomal RNA", at positions 524 to 773 of the family's 1533-position model. The record is from RNAcentral.
UACGUAGGGAGCGAGCGUUAUCCGGAUUUAUUGGGUGUAAAGGGUGCGUAGACGGGAGAACAAGUUAGUUGUGAAAUCCCUCGGCUUAACUGAGGAACUGCAACUAAAACUAUUUUUCUUGAGUGCUGGAGAGGGAAGUGGAAUUCUUAGUGUAGCGGUGAAAUGCGUAGAUAUUAGGAGGAACACCAGUGGCGAAGGCGACUUUCUGGACAGUAACUGACGUUGAGGCACGAAAGUGUGGGGAGCAAAC